Molecule: ribosomal RNA, 496 nt
Filed under: uncultured bacterium
Lineage: Bacteria
Description: partial 16S ribosomal RNA
Rfam family: Bacterial small subunit ribosomal RNA
Source: RNAcentral
AUGAACGCUGGCGGCGUGCCUAAUACAUGCAAGUCGAGCGAACAGACGAGGAGCUUGCUCCUCUGACGUUAGCGGCGGACGGGUGAGUAACACGUGGAUAACCUACCUAUAAGACUGGGAUAACUUCGGGAAACCGGAGCUAAUACCGGAUAAUAUAUUGAACCGCAUGGUUCAAUAGUGAAAGACGGUUUUGCUGUCACUUAUAGAUGGAUCCGCGCCGCAUUAGCUAGUUGGUAAGGUAACGGCUUACCAAGGCAACGAUGCGUAGCCGACCUGAGAGGGUGAUCGGCCACACUGGAACUGAGACGCGGUCCAGACUCCUACGGGAGGCAGCAGUAGGGAAUCUUCCGCAAUGAGCGAAAGCUUGACGGAGCAACGCCGCGUGAGUGAUGAAGGUCUUCGGAUCGUAAAACUCUGUUAUUAGGGAAGAACAAAUGUGUAAGUAACUAUGCACGUCUUGACGGUACCUAAUCAGAAAGCCACGGCUAACUACGUG